UACAGAGGGUGCGAGCGUUGUCCGGAAUCACUGGGCGUAAAGCGCACGUAGGCGGACUCUUAAGUCGGUGGUGAAAUCCUGGAGCUCAACUCCAGAACUGCCUUCGAUACUGGGAGUCUCGAGUCCGGGAGAGGUGAGUGGAACUGCGAGUGUAGAGGUGAAAUUCGUAGAUAUUCGCAAGAACACCAGUGGCGAAGGCGGCUCACUGGCCCGGUACUGACGCUGAGGUGCGAAAGCGUGGGGAGCAAACAGG
RNAcentral lists this ribosomal RNA (253 nucleotides) under uncultured bacterium. Its description in RNAcentral is "partial 16S ribosomal RNA". It matches the Rfam family "Bacterial small subunit ribosomal RNA", at positions 524 to 776 of the family's 1533-position model. The record is from RNAcentral.